AGGGUGUAAACGCUGCAGACUUGGUGUUGGAGGCCCUUUGGGGGCAUUCAGUGCCGGAGAGAAGUUGUUAAGUCUGCUACUUGGGGAGUACGUCCGCAAGGAUGAAACUUAAAGGAAUUGGCGGGGGAGCACCGCAACGGGAGGAGCGUGCGGUUUAAUUGGAUUCAACACCGUAAAACUCACCAGGGAAGACUGUUACAUGAAGGCCGAGAUGAAGACUCUGCCAGAUUUUCAGAGAGGUGGUGCAUGGCGUCAGUGACU
This 261-nucleotide ribosomal RNA is filed under the name uncultured archaeon. Its description in RNAcentral is "partial 16S ribosomal RNA". It matches the Rfam family "Archaeal small subunit ribosomal RNA", at positions 748 to 1008 of the family's 1478-position model. The record is from RNAcentral.